This is a long non-coding RNA of Pungitius pungitius (ninespine stickleback), 3797 nucleotides long. RefSeq lists it as uncharacterized. The transcript is spliced from 2 exons. Lineage: Eukaryota; Metazoa; Chordata; Actinopteri; Perciformes; Gasterosteidae. The record is from RefSeq and is a predicted model, not a curated record.
CAUACGGCUCUUCUGUUCGCUGUAGAAACAGAGCGAAAAUGGCGUAGGGUGGAAGGGUUGCGGAGACGGGGGACGAGCUUCUCCACCCCGGGAGCCGGGGAGGGAGAAAGAAAGAGACCUGUUUUAUCGGUUUAUUCUUGUGUUAAUGUAUCCUCGCUCCAUACCUCUUAACGGAAGCCGUCUCGUGUCCAGCUGCGGAGCCGUGAACGCGUCUCCGCAGCAGCAGGAACCCCGCUGGCUUUUGUUUACGGCGGUGAGCUGCAGCAGCAGCUCGGACCCCGGUGGAAAUGCCUCUGCAUCGUUUCAGAGCUCGCACCAAGGAUGGCUUUUCCACUCAAUGCAAUUGUGAAACCAGCCGAAGCCCAGAACGGGGGAAUGUCCUCCUUCAUGUCGCCGCUAUCAGCACACCUCCAACUUCCACGGCCUUCCUCGGUGAGGUAAACGAAGAAGAGUGGUUGUGAAGAUGACCUCUUUUGGGCUUUUGGGACACGGGUGUUCUCCUCCCUGCUGUUUCUGGGACAUUGGCCCCGUCUCCUUCACAGCACCCCCCCCCCCCCCUCCCCCCCUCCUUCCUGAUUUCUGCCACGUGAUCAUCGGUCAGGAUACUGCCGUGAUUAUGAGCUAGUCUGACUUCCAUCACGCCCACUCGCACCACGUCUCCAUGCACCCAAAGGCUGCUCUUCCCGGGGACAAAGUUUGCUUAAAUGCUGGGCACUCUCAGUUCUCCGUGUGAUGGACCGAAAGUCUCCAUUAUUUAGGCAUUGCAUUCAGAUCUGGGUUGGACUGUAAUCCGGCUGCAUGUAAACCUAGUUGCUGAUUCUUCCUGAAUACUGAAAAAAACAAAAAGAUCCCCACCUGCUCUGUAAUUUGAUUUAAAGCAGUCUGAUAAUGAACAAACUGUCUCCUGGGAACAGAGUAAAGACACAAUAAACUGUAGCAAAGAUUGAGCCCUGUGAUUAAAUUCAAAUCAUAGGGUGUUUUAUUCAUUCUUUUUUUUUCUUCACUACCUCAUUGCCGUAACAGGUGUGAUCAGUACAAGUAACGUAAUGUUUGUCAAGAGCCACAGCAGCUAAACCUUGUUCCCGGAUUCAUUUAGUUUUCGAGGGUUGCUAUGCAAGGUUAUCAAGCCGAGCAGCCCCUGAAGCACAUGAUGCCUUCUGUCAUUUACUGUAACUACCACCAUUAUGAGGGCAGCGUUGUCUAACUGUGGUGUCCUAUGCAUCGGUUCUAAAGGAAGGUGACAUUGCAGUAGUUUUACUGCGCGCUCUCCUUCUUCUGCAUUUCAUGGAAGAAUUGUCAAUAUUCCCUUGUAACUUUAUCCUUGAUAUUGAAAGCUGGCAGUGUUUUUAAAGUCUUUAAUUGGGAAAGUUUUCUUCCCCAACUGUUUUCUUAAUUUUUACCUUUGUCUUUCUGCACCUCGACUUACUUUGUUUUCUGUGGCAGCUUUGUCCUAUUAUUCUUUCUCCUUUAACUUGGGCUCCUAUGACACGGAUUACCAGGACAUAAUUCAAACGCUGCAGGCUGAGACAGAACUUGGUUCCUGAUGUGUAGGGCUGGGUUUUAGCUUUAAUAUCAUCUUUCAUUGGAAUCAUUGAAAUCAUUUGUCAGAAUCGCAUUGUCUAAAUAGAUGAUACUAAGCACAUAGUCACUCAAAUUGUUUGGAAAAUCGCACUAUUUUUCACCACGGUUCUCAAUUAGAAGAUCAAUUGUUAUUAAUUUGUCAAGUAUUUCACCCACACCAGAGUAUACAGAACCAUGUUAUUUCAUAAGGACUAUUCAUCCAUUGUAUUGCCAGAAAGAACAUGCUGCAUUAUGUUGUAUAUUGUUAUUGAGAAAUUAAUUUACUUUUAUCAAAAGUGAGUCAGUCGUAUCAAGAACAUAAUGCUCUGUCUUUGCCUGCUGGCAGUAAUCCUUUGAUUCCUACCGUGGUUUGUCCUGAGUGAAAGGGAAACCCUGGUUUCAUUUCUUCAACUUUUAUUUUCCUUCAUUUUUAUAUGAAAAGAAAGACAGAAAAAAAAUGACAUUUACCGGGAUUCGUGCAAUAUUUGAUCUUGACUGUCAUGUUGUUGACCAAACUGUAUAUUGUAUAAACAAGUGACCAGUUGUUUGAAAGCAACAAAAUCACCAAUGUCUUCCAUUAAGAUAUGUAUAGACUCACGUGCAUUAGCUUAUUUAGCGGGACUGUGGUGCCAACUUUGUAGUAACCAUGCAUGACCAGUAGUGAUGCUUGCUUCAUGAAAAAUAGUCUAUUUCUAAGCAAAGCUGGAGCUCAAAACUGUGUAAAACCAUUUCAGUCAUUUAAAUAGUGGCAGAUUGACGUACUAACCCCUUUUGAUUGAACCAUAUUUAGACUUGGUCUUAAACCGAUGGUACCUUUUAUCCAAUCUUUAGGUUAUGGAUCAGGAUAUGCAGUUUAUAAGCAUUCAUUAUAUUAUGUAUAGGAACCACUGUAGGGUUUCAGAUUGUUACAUUUAAGGACUCUCAAGCACUAAACGAUCAACAAGAACGAUUGAAAGUAAUUAUGUGUCUGUCAAAUAGCUCCCAAAAAAUAUCAAAUCUAAAAAUGUGACAUUGAUAGAACCCUCCAGAGAAUUGUUCCAUUAUAUAAGAAUGGUGUGUUAAUCUUAAAUUUGGAUAUCAUUUGUUUUGGGGUGCGACGUUAUGUUUGAGUCUUAGAAUCAAGAUGUCAUCGCGUCAUUGUAUUGUACAUAAUACAUCAUAGUUUUGAGAUUCAGAGCAAGAACUUUGAAUCAUGACAUUUUAUUGGACUUCAGAUUUAGAAGCAUUAACCUACAAUUAUGCAUGAGUUUAGUGGCAGGGUGUAAGUGUGGGACCCUGUAGCGUCCUCCCCUCUCCUUUUAUGCCCACGCGCGGUAGCGAUCCUUUAGUCACUUCUUUUGGGAGCCGUCUAAUAUUUGGCUUUAGAAUACAGUAUUACUUCUGAAGGUUUGGGAUACUUUCUGCAGGACAAAGUGUUCUUGAGGACAGCUGUAGGAUCAUGUCAAAGUCAACACCAAAACCAUAAUAUAAACUUAUCGGUACACGAGAGACACUUUAAAUUUCAGACCUUGUAGCAUCUUUACCUCCACAUAACCCCGUCCUUGCUGGAUGAACUCGAGCACUUUCUCUCUGUGUGUAAUAACGUCGUCUUCACCAUCCCCUCUUGAAUACUGUGUUCUAAAAACUCUCUAAUGCUCUCUAGUUGGGAUUUAUAAUCACAAUUUAUAAACCAGUAGCAACAUGAAUAUGUGGGUUUAAAAAAGAAAUAUGCAUGACGUGGCCGAAUAACGAAUGAUUUGUAUUGCAUGCAAUAAUCCAACUUUGUAAUGUGAAUGAGUGUAAUUAUGAAAUGUUUAUAUCAGAUGUUCUGUGACAAGGUGACAACCCGGGGCGGUUGUUGGACACAAUGGCAUGUUGAAGUAGCAUCGAGCACCACUUGUGGUUUUACAGAGUAAAUUCCAUCCCCGUAAUGGAGAGAGGUGUGUGUGUGUGUGUACACGUGUACGUGUGUGUGUGUGUGUACGUGUCCAACGUGACCGGGGAAGUACAACCGCCCCGCACCUUUGCUCCCAUGGGGAAAAAAGAAAAACUAUACAAAAGCUUCAGUUAAAUGAUUAAUGACAUCACUUUGUUGGUUUUUCCACUGAAGGGGUGAACUGUGUAGAAACUAUGCACUCCAGAGGGAGGAGACGGGCAUGCUUAUAACGUGUGAACCUCUUGUCUGGUUUUGUAUUAACUAAAAACUAAGAAUCUGUAUCAGAAAUUCAGCAAUAAAAUGCAGCAUGGCGCCAAUCGGA